GGCAGACUGUAAAUCUGUUGGCAGUGCCUUCACUGGUUCGAAUCCAGUCCUCUCCACCA
RNAcentral lists this transfer RNA (59 nucleotides) under Bacillota bacterium. Its description in RNAcentral is "tRNA-OTHER". It matches the Rfam family "tRNA", at positions 25 to 71 of the family's 71-position model. From Rfam's summary of the family: Transfer RNA (tRNA) molecules are approximately 80 nucleotides in length. Their secondary structure includes four short double-helical elements and three loops (D, anti-codon, and T loops). Lineage: Bacteria; Bacillati; Bacillota. The record is from RNAcentral.